CGGACGGGUGAGUAACGCGUGGGUAACCUACCCUGUACACACGGAUAACAUACCGAAAGGUAUGCUAAUACGGGAUAAUAUAUUUGAGAGGCAUCUCUUGAAUAUCAAAGGUGAGCCAGUACAGGAUGGACCCGCGUCUGAUUAGCUAGUUGGUAAGGUAACGGCUUACCAAGGCGACGAUCAGUAGCCGACCUGAGAGGGUGAUCGGCCACAUUGGAACUGAGACACAGUCCAA
This 235-nucleotide ribosomal RNA is filed under the name uncultured bacterium. RNAcentral describes it as "partial 16S ribosomal RNA". It matches the Rfam family "Bacterial small subunit ribosomal RNA", at positions 99 to 334 of the family's 1533-position model. The record is from RNAcentral.